UUGCUUCCAUUUGCUUGCUUGCCUUUGGCAUUGCCGGGAGUGGUUUGUCUGGUACCGUCGAGUCUCUCUAACGGGAGGGCGUGUGAGUGGCAUUUGGGAUGUUUGUGCUGUCUGGCUCCAUGGUCGUGGUCAUCGAACUUUCAGCACACAGCCCUUGUCAUGUUCGCCUUGUGUCAUUUUGGCCCGGCGUUCGAUUAUGGUUCUUGUGUUGCCUACCUGUUAAGUGGUAUUCACGUGCCUCUUAUGACCCGUUCCAUCCAGACCCCUCGAGAGGUUGUUGGAGGAUUCGGAAGUGAUGCGUGUGAUGUGUUAGCUGUGCAUAGUAAUGGCUUGCGUUCUCACACGUGUCUAGUGUUCCCUUGGAUGCGGUGCAUGCGGCGAACGUGGGCUGACCAGUUUGUCCCGUUGAGUCCCUUUGAUUUAUCGGUUCCCUUGAAUGACACUUUGCCGUGGUGUCGGUCUUGCUUAACCAUCCGUGGUGGCAACACUGGCACGUGGAACAAAGUCGUUGAUG
Molecule: unclassified non-coding RNA, 514 nt
Filed under: Lupinus albus var. albus
Lineage: Eukaryota; Viridiplantae; Streptophyta; Magnoliopsida; Fabales; Fabaceae
Description: partial external transcribed spacer
Source: RNAcentral